RNAcentral lists this ribosomal RNA (377 nucleotides) under uncultured bacterium. Its description in RNAcentral is "bacterial SSU rRNA". It matches the Rfam family "Bacterial small subunit ribosomal RNA", at positions 523 to 898 of the family's 1533-position model. The record is from RNAcentral.
AUACGUAGGGGGCGAGCGUUGUCCGGAAUUACUGGGUGUAAAGGGCGUGUAGGCGGCAUAUCAAGUUAUCGGUAAAACCCCAUGGCUCAACCAUGGGCCUGCCGAUAAAACUGGUAUACUUGAGUGCAGGAGAGGAAAGCGGAAUUUCCGGAGUAGCGGUGAAAUGCGUAGAUACCGGGAGGAACACCAGUGGCGAAGGCGGCUUUCUGGCCUGUAACUGACGCUGAGGCGCGAAAGCUGGGGUAGCGAACGGGAUUAGAUACCCCGGUAGUCCCAGCCGUAAACGAUGGUCACUAGGUGUGGGUGGUGGUCAAGCCAUCCGUGCCGGAGCUAACGCAAUAAGUGACCCACCUGGGGAGUACGGCCGCAAGGUUGAA